GAUGAACGCUGGCGGCGUGCCUAAUACAUGCAAGUCGAGCGAACGGACGAGAAGCUUGCGUCUCUGAUGUUAGCGGCGGACGGGUGAGUAACACGUGGAUAACCUACCUAUUAGACUGGGAUAACUUCGGGAAACCGGAGCUAAUACCGGAUAAUAUUUUGAACCGCAUGGUUCAAAAGUGAAUGACGGUCUUGCUGUCACUUAUAGAUGGAUCCGCGCUGCAUUAGCUAGUUGGUAAGGUAACGGCUUACCAAGGCAACGAUGCAUAGCCGACCUGAGAGGGUGAUCGGCCACACUGGAACUGAGACACGGUCCAGACUCCUACGGGAGGCAGCAGUAGGGAAUCUUCCGCAAUGGGCGAAAGCCUGACGGAGCAACGCCGCGUGAGUGAUGAAGGUCUUCGGAUCGUAAAACUCUGUUAUUAGGGAAGAACAUAUGUGUAAGUAACUGUGCACAUCUUGACGGUACCUAAUCAGAAAGCCACGGCUAACUACGUG
This 497-nucleotide ribosomal RNA is filed under the name uncultured bacterium. RNAcentral's name for it is "partial 16S ribosomal RNA". It matches the Rfam family "Bacterial small subunit ribosomal RNA", at positions 28 to 507 of the family's 1533-position model. The record is from RNAcentral.